GCUGAAGGCUUCAUCACCGCAGAUGUGUCCUGACAAGCAACAUCUGGCUGUCAGUUAGCGUCUGAUGGAGAGCGUGAGGCGAACAGAGCCACGCUCUCCUCUGAGCCGCUGGUUUUCAGACAUUCACCCCCCCUGAACUCGGAGGUUCCUCUCAGAGGGUCCCGGGCCGUCUCCGGGUUCUGUGUGUCCUGCUGUCCCCUUCAUCCUCCCCAGCAGCUGCUUAGACCCCACCCCGCUCUGCUCGUUAGAGGUCACAUUUUAUGGCCAAUCACAGCCUCAUUUGUCCUCGUUAGGCGUGCGGUAAUUGUAACUGCGCUUGGCCGGCCGGCGCUCACAAGCGCUAAUCAUGACUGACAACAAUCCCGCCAUUAUUUCUCUUCAGCAGCAUCUGGGGGGGAUUACUGCUGCUUGUUCGCUCCAUCGUGCUGCUGCCGUCCUCCACUGCAGAUAUGUUUGUGUCCCGGCGAUGGAGGCGUGAGACGCGCCGGUAAACACGGCCUGCAGACCGGCGCCGCGGUGAGAGUCCAUUCUGUCAGCGGCGUCCAAUCAAUACCGAGUCCAGCUGCAUCCCGUCAGCUCCGGCUCAGCGUGUGGAUGUCAAGAGAGUCUCCGAGCCAGAAGAGAUGCUGUCCCGGUUCUGCCAGCUCACUGUGACGACGAGCCACAUUAAUCAACCCAGCGGAGAAGACAAGGCGAGAAUCCAAAUUUAACACGCUGCUGGAUUUAGACCCUGUUGACGACAGGACGGAGACUUCCAGGCCCGCUUCCUGCCCCGAAGCCCCCCCUUUACUCAGAGAAGGGGGCAACUCCGGAUGAAAAUACUCGAGGUUUUUCUGCAGAAACAGUUUCUUCACAUUUUGGUGCAUCGAUUUGGUCCGGAGACAAAGAUCUCCACCCUGAGCUCCAGAAGAUAAGGCGAGAAGUUCAGCGCUGGCGGUCAUGGAGUCGAUAAUCUGCACUCGCCGCUUUGUGUCGCCCCGGCACGCCGCGCGCAUCCUAAUUGGACACAAAAACUCCAACCAUAAACAAUGAGUGUCAUGUUGAGGAAUUUCAGAGUCUGUCUGCUCAAAUAUGAUAACGAGGCGCGCUCUCCAUCUAAAUCAAUAAAGUUGACUUGUGAUCAA
This is a long non-coding RNA of Oryzias melastigma (Indian medaka), 1124 nucleotides long. RefSeq lists it as uncharacterized. The record is from RefSeq and is a predicted model, not a curated record. NCBI's taxonomy places the organism in Eukaryota, Metazoa, Chordata, Actinopteri, Beloniformes, Adrianichthyidae. The transcript has 2 exons.